RNAcentral lists this small nucleolar RNA (141 nucleotides) under Olea europaea subsp. europaea. RNAcentral describes it as "Small nucleolar RNA snoR136". It matches the Rfam family "Small nucleolar RNA snoR136". The record is from Rfam by way of RNAcentral. Lineage: Eukaryota; Viridiplantae; Streptophyta; Magnoliopsida; Lamiales; Oleaceae.
UCUGCUUCAUCAAUUUUGGAUCUACACUGUAUAUCUUUAUAUGACGGUGUGGUAUUUUGAAAUGAAGCUUCAGAGGAAAUUGUUCCUCUCGAUAUCGAUUGCUACCUCCAUGGAGUGUUUGGACGUUGGAGAACAACGUUU